AUGCGUAUUGCGACAUCUAGCAACCACACGCUUCGCCGUCUUUUUCGUCCUUUGUUCACCGAGAGCCGAGAGCAAGUGAGCAGCCAGCAGCAAGCAGCAAGCAAUCAAACAAACCUCUACUGUGCUUGGACGAUUUGGCCUUUCAGUUUUUUUCAGACGUGUCACAUUCGACGUCACGACCACAACGGGGGAAAAACACGCAGAAAGCAACAUGGAGGCGAGGGAUAACGUGACGUUGAUUUGUCCAGAUCCUGUCACAGGAAAGUGUUCUGCUUGGCCAUUGAAAUGAAUUAUCUUCAUGGCAAUUCACGGACGAGGAGGAAAAGAAAGUCAGAGUGCAGCAGCAUUUAAUGAACCUUUCCAUGGAGGCUGUGGAACAGGCAGAUCAAGCUGUGGACCAGGCUAAAUAUCGAGGAAGAUGUGGAGAACAAUGCUGAUGAAGCUUUAACUCUGGAUAUUGACAUUGAUAAUGAAGUUGAUGACUUGAACAUGGGUAGUGAUGACCCAGAUGAGGAUUCUGGCUGUGAUUUUUCUGAAGAGCAACCCCAUUCUGAUGCCAAGAGGAAACUCGCUGAAUGGGCAGCUAAACGAAAUGUGUCUCAUUCAGUGCUGUCAGAGCUACUAGGUAUACUUUUGGAGCUAGGUGUGGAUGUACCUAAGGAUCCCAGAGCACUCCUCAGUACAUUGAAAGAUUGUGAGGUCAAAGAGAUUGGACAGGGACGCUACUACCAUUUUGGACUUGCAAGUACAAUCGUUUCAGAACUGAAAAUGAUGAAUGUUCAUGAACUGACAACAGAUACAUUGACUGUUCGUGUGAAUGUUGAUGGAUUGCCUCUCUCUAGGAGCUCUAAUAUGCAGCUGUGGCCUAUUUUAGGUCAAAUAGUUGAACUACCAAAAUCGAAUGUGUUUAUCAUAGGUGUUUAUGCAGGUCCCUAUAAACCUGAAUCAGUACACGACUACAUGCAUGAUUUUAUACCAGAUUUAAAAGUCAUUAUUACAACUGGUGUAACUUUUAAUGGCAAACUGUACAAUGUACCACUUCUAGAUGCCUUUAUCUGUGACACUUCAGCAAGAGCUUUUUUAAAAUGUGGCAAAGGUCAUGGUGGCUACAGUUCUUGUGAAUGGUGCACACAGUAUGGCACUUAUGUUGAUGGUAGAGUUGUGUUUCCAGACAUGGAUUCUAGCCAAAGGACUAAUUCUCAGUUUGAACAAAUGUCUGAUGAAGACCACCAUCGCUCCAAAUAACCUCUGCAGGGGCUAGGCAUUGGGAUGGUUUCUGAUUUUCCUCUGGACUACAUGCAUUUAGUUAGCUUGGGCAUUGUCCGUAAAUUGAUUGCUCUGUGGUUUAAGGGACCAUUACAUUGUCGGGUUCCAUCUGCUGUUCUAACCACCAUCUCUGAUCACAUGAAGCUGUGUAGACAAAACUUACCACGUAGCUUAGUUUUUAUUAUAUAUAGGACUAGUUUUGCUUUUAUCAAAGAUUGCCCUGUCAACAGUACAAAAACUUCGUGGUUUUGUCAUCUGCUAUGAGAAUACUUUUAUCUCCUCUGUGUAGACAGUACUGUGGUUAUGCCAAAGUUGUUAAAAUGCUUUGUUACCAACUUUGCUAAGAUACAUGGGACUAAAUUUCUGGUUAACAAUACACACAAUCUUUUUCAUUUAGCAGAUGAUGCAGAAAAGUAUGGCCCUCUGGAUUUGGUUUUUAUGUUUUCCAUUUGAGAAUUAUUUGGGACAGUUGAAAAAAAUGGUGAGAAGACCACAGUAUCCUGUGCAACAAAUUGUCAGGCGUGUGUAUGAAAGGCAGUUAUUUCCUCGCAUGUCUCAAGAAAUGCCUGAAGGUGUUGAACUGAAGGAGCUCCGUGCAUCUGGACCAAUGCUGGCAGAGUUUUCCAUGCAUCAGUAUGUUCAAUACAAGAUGUAUAAACACAAAUACAAAAUAAUCUCAACCUCCAGUGGUAGCAAUUGUUUUGAACUUGAGAGCAGAGUUGCAGUUUUGCGGAACAUCAUGCAUUCCAUUGGAGGAACACGUGGUGUAUGAACAGUUUCAGACGGGGGCAUGGUUUUUCAACUACUCCAUUGAUUCGACAUCUUUGGGAAUCCGUUUGCUAUCUAAACUGUCUGGUCAGCUUGCCAGUGCUCCAGUAACAGACUUCACAAAACCACUGUGUGACGAUUGGGGACAGAAUGGACCCAAAUGCAACGCUGAGGGUUUCAAAAGAGGUUUUUUGAGGGAAAAGGCGAACGAGGAGGAACGGGAGGAAAGAAGAGGAAUGGCAGACGUGGACGUGGGGGACCGAGGAGCUGGAGGAGCAGAAAGCGCUUAGGCAGGAGGUUCGAGGGAGGCUGGCGGUCGUGGAGGAGAGGAUGUGGUGGCUGGCGGCCCGGCGGGGAGCUAAGGGGGGAACCGGAGGGCGAGAGGAGGAGGCUGGCAAGCAAGCCCGGCUGGCCGAGCAGGGAGGCAGAGCACAUGACUUGGACACAUGACAGGAUGGCCUCAUUCAGUGUGGUGGAGUUUGUGGAUGAAGCUGACCCUGAUGGCUGCAAAAAGGUGGACAUCAUACCAUCAGUGGUUCAAGGGCACUGACAGGAAAUUAUGCUGGUGGCCACCAGGCUCAUUGCUGAAAGUCACUAAGGCAGUGAAAGAGGACACACCACCAGCCAGUAACUGGAUACUCUGUAAUGUGCGUGUAAUGGGAAAUGCAGGGUUGUCAAAUGGCUGGUGUAGCUGCAGGUUUUCAUUCCAACCAAGCAGGAUCACACCAGACUUAACUCAUUAAUUGAACUGAUCAGUCUUCACACAGUUGAAUAGUUGGAUUAGGCGUGGCCUUGCUUGGUCAUUAUGUCAUUUUGUUUUCCACCCACUUAUGCAGAUGCCAGGGCAAAGCUACAUCAGGCUGAGUAUUCAUCCGACCUGACAGAAAGUAGGUGUUAGUGGGGGGAAUGCAGGUGAAAGUGUAUUUCCUCUAGAAAUAAUAUGGAAGCAGUAGGAAAGGGGUGCCUUAACCUCUCUAGGGCAAGUGCAAAAUUCCUCCAGAGUCAAGUGAGUGGCCAACUAGAAUCAAGUGGACAUUCUGAUUCGGAUGAGGAACUUCCACCCACUCCCCCACACCAACUCCUUGGGCCAGCAGCGAAGAAAAUGACCUGCCGCGUCGUCAGCCCCACUGCCCAGCGAGUCUCCAGCCCCACUGCCCAGCGAGUCGCCAGCCCCACAUGUGAAGCCAUGUUCUAUAAAUUUUAGAAGACGUGAAGGAGACCCAACAGGUUCAUGGUAAGAUGAUAAAUACCCUGCUGAAGAAGCAAGAUGGAUCAGUGGUAGAGGUCCCUGAAGGAGUGGUCUUCCCUCUGAAAACCCAAGCUGACAUUGAGGCUCUUGAUGAGAAGCUGGGAGACCGUAGUCUCAUUGUAAGUCUGAAUCUAUAUAUUAAUUUAGACACUUGUAUCUGAGGUGACUUGCACAUAGGGCUACAAAGUAACAUUUGAUCACAAAUACAUGUAUUGCGUUCAGUGCUUGAAAUGGGCUAGUUUUCUGCCCUCUCCAUAUCAGGUUCUCUGGGCACUACGCAACGCUCAACUGUUCGCGUUCUUGCCUGCCUGCUAAUCUUUGUCAGCGGAGACAAGAGCAAGGAGAAGCUCAGGAGACAGCCAUAGGUGUCAUUUACACUGGGGACGCUGGGGACAAAUCAGAAUAUCUCCAUCACUUUUUGAAAGCAUUUGUUAAAAAUUUUCUGAAAUGUUAAAUAACAAAAUUUCUUUGAGGAAGGUUCAUUUGCACAAUAAAAAACAAAACAUGCAAUGCUAUUUAAAUAUAGAAGAAACAAAUGUGCAUUGUCCAAAAAAAAAAAACUUGUACUAAAAAAAAUUCCUCCAGAGUCAAGUGAGCGGCCAACUAGAAUCAAGUGGACAUUCUGAUUCGGAUGAGGAACUUCCACCCACUCCCCCACACCAACUCCUUGGGCCAGCAGCGAAGAAAAUGACCUGCCGCAUCGCCAGCCCCACUGCCCAGCGGGUCGCCAGCCCCACUGCCCAGCGGGUCGCCAG
Micropterus dolomieu (smallmouth bass) is the source of this 4038-nucleotide long non-coding RNA. RefSeq lists it as uncharacterized. The transcript is spliced from 6 exons. Lineage: Eukaryota; Metazoa; Chordata; Actinopteri; Centrarchiformes; Centrarchidae. The record is from RefSeq and is a predicted model, not a curated record.